Molecule: long non-coding RNA, 562 nt
Organism: Salvelinus fontinalis (brook trout)
Lineage: Eukaryota; Metazoa; Chordata; Actinopteri; Salmoniformes; Salmonidae
Exons: 2
Source: RefSeq, a predicted model, not a curated record
GCCUAUAAAUGGGAAGUCUGGUGGCAUUUUGGACCGUUGGUCAUAACCAGUCACACUUAAAAAAGCAAAACGAAGAGGGGGAUGGGUUCACUGGGUUGGAGUGGAAGAUGCUUAUAAAAAGCGACCUUGAGAAUGAUAAAAUGUCUAUGAAAUGGAAAAAGGUUUUGGCGGAUGGUUUAGGAGAUGGUGAGGUGGCUAGACUACACCAUGUCCCCUCUUUUCCUCCAAACACUUCCUGGACCUGAGCCCUAGAACCAUGCCUGGCCUGGCCUAGCCAGUCUCCAGAUCUCAACCCCAUAGAAAAUCUUUGGAGGGAGUUGAAAGUCCGUGUUGCCCAGCAACAGCCCCAAAACAUCACUGCUCUAGAGGAGAUCUGCAUGGAGGAAUGGGCCAAAAUACCAGCAACAGUGUGUGGAAACCUUGUGAAGACAUACAGAAAACGUUUGACCUCUGUCAUUGCCAACAAAGGGUAUAUAACAAAGUAUUGAGAUAAACUUUUGUUAUUGACCAAAUACUUAUUUUCCACCAUAAUUUGCAAAUAAAUGCAUUAAAAAUCCUACAA